RNAcentral lists this ribosomal RNA (1552 nucleotides) under Staphylococcus aureus. RNAcentral's name for it is "16S ribosomal RNA". It matches the Rfam family "Bacterial small subunit ribosomal RNA". The record is from RNAcentral. Lineage: Bacteria; Bacillati; Bacillota; Bacilli; Caryophanales; Staphylococcaceae.
UUUAUGGAGAGUUUGAUCCUGGCUCAGGAUGAACGCUGGCGGCGUGCCUAAUACAUGCAAGUCGAGCGAACGGACGAGAAGCUUGCUUCUCUGAUGUUAGCGGCGGACGGGUGAGUAACACGUGGAUAACCUACCUAUAAGACUGGGAUAACUUCGGGAAACCGGAGCUAAUACCGGAUAAUAUUUUGAACCGCAUGGUUCAAAAGUGAAAGACGGUCUUACUGUCACUUAUAGAUGGAUCCGCGCUGCAUUAGCUAGUUGGUAAGGUAACGGCUUACCAAGGCAACGAUGCAUAGCCGACCUGAGAGGGUGAUCGGCCACACUGGAACUGAGACACGGUCCAGACUCCUACGGGAGGCAGCAGUAGGGAAUCUUCCGCAAUGGGCGAAAGCCUGACGGAGCAACGCCGCGUGAGUGAUGAAGGUCUUCGGAUCGUAAAACUCUGUUAUUAGGGAAGAACAUAUGUGUAAGUAACUGUGCACAUCUUGACGGUACCUAAUCAGAAAGCCACGGCUAACUACGUGCCAGCAGCCGCGGUAAUACGUAGGUGGCAAGCGUUAUCCGGAAUUAUUGGGCGUAAAGCGCGCGUAGGCGGUUUUUUAAGUCUGAUGUGAAAGCCCACGGCUCAACCGUGGAGGGUCAUUGGAAACUGGAAAACUUGAGUGCAGAAGAGGAAAGUGGAAUUCCAUGUGUAGCGGUGAAAUGCGCAGAGAUAUGGAGGAACACCAGUGGCGAAGGCGACUUUCUGGUCUGUAACUGACGCUGAUGUGCGAAAGCGUGGGGAUCAAACAGGAUUAGAUACCCUGGUAGUCCACGCCGUAAACGAUGAGUGCUAAGUGUUAGGGGGUUUCCGCCCCUUAGUCCUGCAGCUAACGCAUUAAGCACUCCGCCUGGGGAGUACGACCGCAAGGUUGAAACUCAAAGGAAUUGACGGGGACCCGCACAAGCGGUGGAGCAUGUGGUUUAAUUCGAAGCAACGCGAAGAACCUUACCAAAUCUUGACAUCCUUUGACAACUCUAGAGAUAGAGCUUUCCCCUUCGGGGGACAAAGUGACAGGUGGUGCAUGGUUGUCGUCAGCUCGUGUCGUGAGAUGUUGGGUUAAGUCCCGCAACGAGCGCAACCCUUAAGCUUAGUUGCCAUCAUUAAGUUGGGCACUCUAAGUUGACUGCCGGUGACAAACCGGAGGAAGGUGGGGAUGACGUCAAAUCAUCAUGCCCCUUAUGAUUUGGGCUACACACGUGCUACAAUGGACAAUACAAAGGGCAGCGAAACCGCGAGGUCAAGCAAAUCCCAUAAAGUUGUUCUCAGUUCGGAUUGUAGUCUGCAACUCGACUACAUGAAGCUGGAAUCGCUAGUAAUCGUAGAUCAGCAUGCUACGGUGAAUACGUUCCCGGGUCUUGUACACACCGCCCGUCACACCACGAGAGUUUGUAACACCCGAAGCCGGUGGAGUAACCUUUUAGGAGCUAGCCGUCGAAGGUGGGACAAAUGAUUGGGGUGAAGUCGUAACAAGGUAGCCGUAUCGGAAGGUGCGGCUGGAUCACCUCCUUU